GCAGGAUAGCUCAGUUGGUUAGAGUGUGUUGCUGAUGACACCAAGAUUGCAGGUUCGAUCCCUGCAUGGGGCAGCUGCA
This is a non-coding RNA of Podarcis lilfordi (Lilford's wall lizard), 79 nucleotides long. The record is from the annotation of a GenBank genome assembly. Lineage: Eukaryota; Metazoa; Chordata; Lepidosauria; Squamata; Lacertidae.